CUCCAAAGGGAGACACCAAGGAAGCUCCCUGAUCAGAUGCCCUACCCUGACUCUAUCUCUGAGGCUACACCCAGCCACCUCCAUAGAUAAAGCAGCAGGGAAGGCCCGCAGCUUCUAUUUCUGCCUCCUGGACCAGUGGCUGGUUCGAUGGACUGUCAGAUGGCGUGUGAAUGGUGCUUUGAGACGGCGUGGAGAGCUGAGAGAGCACUCAUCACGACACCCUUCACCACAAAGAGACAGCUCUCAUGCGGGGAUGCCGGGUGUUGUUAUUGUACAGAGAAGCCUCCCUGACCUUGAAAUCGACGAGCCGAACUGAUUGCUCAGACAAAGUAAUGAAACCUGACUCAUACUGUUGUCAUUCAGCCUCUGACAACGUGUACAUUGUACCUGAGUAACAUCACAUUCCUGUUGAAUAACGCUUUGAUAGACAGCCAUGAAUCACUGUAUUGACGAGUGGAGGUAGUAAAAUUUGAAUGUUUACUUUGUGGACCAUCAUAUCUGAGAUGUUUCUCCCCUGGUGACUGUAACAUAUAAAAAGUAUCUCUUAGGAAACACAAAGCAGCCACCGGAGAGAGGCCAUCUCGUUAAUAAAGAGAA
Long non-coding RNA from Notolabrus celidotus (New Zealand spotty), 597 nucleotides. RefSeq lists it as uncharacterized. Lineage: Eukaryota; Metazoa; Chordata; Actinopteri; Labriformes; Labridae. The record is from RefSeq and is a predicted model, not a curated record. The transcript has 2 exons.